Molecule: transfer RNA, 29 nt
Filed under: Physcomitrium pyriforme
Lineage: Eukaryota; Viridiplantae; Streptophyta; Bryopsida; Funariales; Funariaceae
Also listed under: 1 other name
Description: partial tRNA-Ser
Source: RNAcentral
AGGAAAGAGAGGGAUUCGAACCCUCGGUA